CAGGAGACGAGGUGGCCAAGGUGGUCACUCCUUGUCCUGGGCCCCUCCCCUCAGGGGUCACUCCUUGUUCUUGGUUCCAGGGUGGUCACUGUUUGUCCUUGGCCCUGGGGUGGUCACUUCCCAUCCUGGCCCCUGUGUGAUGAUCACUCCUUGUCAUCAGGUCCAGACCCCCCAGUGCCCUGGGGUGGUCAUUUCCCAUCCUGGCCCGUGUGAUGGUCACCCCUUUACAUCUAGGUCCAUGCCCAGCCAGCCCCCCAUGACGGUCACUCCUUGUCAUCACCCAGGUCCAGGCCGGCCACCCCCAUGAUGGUCACUCCUUAUCAUCUAGGUCCAGGCUGGCCAGCCCCAUGAUGGUCACUCCUUGGCAUCGCCCAGGUCCAGGCCGGCCAGGUCCAUGAUGGUCACUCCUUGCCAUCGUUCAGGUCAAGGCCGGCCAGCCCCGUGAUUGUCACUCCUUGUCAUCGCCCAGGUCCAGGCCGGCCAGCUCCCUCAGCCCCCGCAGGCGGCCGGCAGCGUGGAUGCGGUGCUUCUCGCGAAUGAGGUCCUCCAGACGCGGGAAGCGCGCGGUGUGCACCUUCCCGCCACCCAGGUGCACCUGCAGGCAGUA
Molecule: long non-coding RNA, 607 nt
Organism: Erinaceus europaeus (western European hedgehog)
Lineage: Eukaryota; Metazoa; Chordata; Mammalia; Eulipotyphla; Erinaceidae
Exons: 4
Source: RefSeq, a predicted model, not a curated record